This 225-nucleotide small nuclear RNA is filed under the name Acanthamoeba castellanii str. Neff. RNAcentral's name for it is "U2 spliceosomal RNA". It matches the Rfam family "U2 spliceosomal RNA". Rfam says of the family: U2 is a small nuclear RNA (snRNA) component of the spliceosome (involved in pre-mRNA splicing). Lineage: Eukaryota; Discosea; Longamoebia; Acanthamoebidae. The record is from Rfam by way of RNAcentral.
ACAUCUUCUCGGCCUUCGUGGCUAAGAUCAAGUGUAGUAUCUGUUCUUAUCAGCUUAAUCUCUGGUAGUGCGGCCUCCCAUGUGCCUCACAUCUCAAGAUUAGACUUAUUUCUUGUGGUGCGCCCCUGGUACCAUGCCCUCCAGCUACGCUGUGGCAGUCCAGGGAGCAGCGAUCGGCUUCACACUUGCACACGUCUGUGAAGUUCUUCAAACGGUCCACCCUUC